AUAAUGGGUCAGCGACUUAUAUUCUGUAGCAAGGUUAACCGAAUAGGGGAGCCGAAGGGAAACCGAGUCUUAACUGGGCGUUAAGUUGCAGGGUAUAGACCCGAAACCCGGUGAUCUAGCCAUGGGCAGGUUGAAGGUUGGGUAACACUAACUGGAGGACCGAACCGACUAAUGUUGAAAAAUUAGCGGAUGACUUGUGGCUGGGGGUGAAAGGCCAAUCAAACCGGGAGAUAGCUGGUUCUCCCCGAAAGCUAUUUAGGUAGCGCCUCGUGAAUUCAUCUCCGGGGGUAGAGCACUGUUUCGGCAAGGGGGUCAUCCCGACUUACCAACCCGAUGCAAACUGCGAAUACCGGAGAAUGUUAUCACGGGAGACACACGGCGGGUGCUAACGUCCGUCGUGAAGAGGGAAACAACCCAGACCGCCAGCUAAGGUCCCAAAGUCAUGGUUAAGUGGGAAACGAUGUGGGAAGGCCCAGACAGCCAGGAUGUUGGCUUAGAAGCAGCCAUCAUUUAAAG
This 516-nucleotide ribosomal RNA is filed under the name Escherichia coli. RNAcentral's name for it is "bacterial LSU rRNA". It matches the Rfam family "Bacterial large subunit ribosomal RNA", at positions 612 to 1128 of the family's 2925-position model. Lineage: Bacteria; Pseudomonadati; Pseudomonadota; Gammaproteobacteria; Enterobacterales; Enterobacteriaceae. The record is from RNAcentral.